Molecule: long non-coding RNA, 473 nt
Filed under: Polistes fuscatus (common paper wasp)
Lineage: Eukaryota; Metazoa; Arthropoda; Insecta; Hymenoptera; Vespidae
Description: uncharacterized LOC122513394
Source: RNAcentral
CUGUUCUAGUUGAUAAAUACGUAUACUUAUUGUUUUAAUUUAUAAAUGUUUAUUGUGAGUUUUGUAAAAUCAGUGAACGUGAAUUGAUUUCAUCAAUAUCGGAUUGUUAACGUUAAGUGAUAAAUAUGAAUAUAAACGAAAAUAAAAGAAUAUAUUUCAGUAAUAUUAGUUAUUUUAUCCGCGACUAGAAUUAUUUCUUUGUUAUUGAUCGAAGUUGUGAUAGAGACCUACCCCACCGGCUACAGCUAAAGGGACCGACGUAAGUGGAGGCUCGAAUUGGAACAUUUUAACGUAAACAAUCGAAGUGGACCUGGUCAUAAAUAAAUACACAUCAAGUGUUAUUGGAUUGUAAGAAAAAACGUUGCUCAAAAUAAUAAAAUCACCGCUUUAUUUAAAUCUAAAUAAAUGCACACACAUGACAUGUUACAGUUAUUGUCUGUACCAAAAACUAAAGUAAAGUUGGGUGCUGAAAA